RNAcentral lists this ribosomal RNA (660 nucleotides) under uncultured bacterium. Its description in RNAcentral is "bacterial SSU rRNA". It matches the Rfam family "Bacterial small subunit ribosomal RNA", at positions 50 to 697 of the family's 1533-position model. The record is from RNAcentral.
AACACAUGCAAGUCGAGGGGAAACGAUAUUGGAAGCUUGCUUCCGAUAGGCGUCGACCGGCGCACGGGUGAGUAACGCGUAUCCAACCUGCCCACCACUUGGGGAUAACCUUGCGAAAGUAAGACUAAUACCCAAUGAUAUCUCUAGAAGACAUCUGAAAGAGAUUAAAGAUUUAUCGGUGAUGGAUGGGGAUGCGUCUGAUUAGCUUGUUGGCGGGGUAACGGCCCACCAAGGCAACGAUCAGUAGGGGUUCUGAGAGGAAGGUCCCCCACAUUGGAACUGAGACACGGUCCAAACUCCUACGGGAGGCAGCAGUGAGGAAUAUUGGUCAAUGGACGAGAGUCUGAACCAGCCAAGUAGCGUGCAGGAAGACGGCCCUAUGGGUUGUAAACUGCUUUUAUAAGGGAAUAAAGUGAGUCUCGUGAGACUUUUUGCAUGUACCUUAUGAAUAAGGACCGGCUAAUUCCGUGCCAGCAGCCGCGGUAAUACGGAAGGUCCGGGCGUUAUCCGGAUUUAUUGGGUUUAAAGGGAGCGUAGGCCGGAGAUUAAGCGUGUUGUGAAAUGUAGACGCUCAACGUCUGCACUGCAGCGCGAACUGGUUUCCUUGAGUACGCACAAAGUGGGCGGAAUUCGUGGUGUAGCGGUGAAAUGCUUAGAUAU